This is a long non-coding RNA of Podarcis raffonei (Aeolian wall lizard), 1144 nucleotides long. RefSeq lists it as uncharacterized. Lineage: Eukaryota; Metazoa; Chordata; Lepidosauria; Squamata; Lacertidae. The record is from RefSeq and is a predicted model, not a curated record. The transcript has 2 exons.
UUGGAGGCACUGUGUGAGAAAAAGGUAGAACCCCCUUCUAAAAUACCUGCCCCUCAUGUUUUUGUAAGUACUUACUAAAUCUGCCCAGUUAAACAAGGAUAGGUCUGUAACUGACUGAAUAUUUCAACCUUAGUGAGCAGUUAAAUGGGAAUAGCAGGGUUUUUGUUCAUGCCAUAUGCUAAGUUAGAAACUAUCUUUUUCCAAAAUGAUUUGUUUCCUUAAAAGUAAUUUUUAAUAAGCUGACAGUGUUCAAAUCAGUGUUGUUUUUAUAGUGAACUGGUUCAUAUGUCACAUCAAACUGUAGUUACAAUAAACAAUGGCUUAAUUUGAAAUCCUAGACCGGGGGUUGGUCAGUUUAGGAUUUAACCCCAAGGUUGUUGAGCUUUUUUAAGGAUUUUACCCUAGGACAUAUACUGCAAUGAAGGCCAGAUUAAAUCGACUGGCAGGCCCCAAAAACAGGCUUUCGACAUGCCUGUCUUAGACGCUUCACUUUUCCGCAGGUCCUACUGCUGUCAUACUGCUGGGAAACAAACCAUUUAAAACUAUGGUUUAAUGUGACUUGCAAACAUUGCCACUAUUUGUCCGCUAUAGUGAUAGCACAAAAUCUUGUUAGUGCAGGUUUUUCUUGCAUACUAACAUUGGCCUCAAUUUUAUUUGGAGACCAAAUUUCAGUUUGGUCUUUACAAACAUUAUAAAUGUACUUUGAAUUGCAUCUGAAACAUGCUUAGUCUUGUAAAAUGUUAUAUCUGGAAACAAUUAUGUGCUUCAAUAUGAACAAAUCUAAAAAGAUAAACAUUGUAAUACCUGUAUUUUCUAAUUUGCUGAUAUACCCAGAAUAUCAUUCUAUCAUAGUAAAAAAUGAAUACCUACAUUUAGUCCUCUUGUUUCAUCUGUCUAUAAUGCAUUUGUCCUUGCUUUUCAAUGUUUAACUCUACGUUUUUUUCUUUCAAUGCAAAUUUUGAAAGGUUUCAAACUUAAUGAAAGCAAUGAUACUAACAGUGCAAUCCUGUGCAUGUCCUUUCAGUCCCAUGAAUUUCAGUCAGACUUACUUCCAGGUAUAGGAUUGCUGCCAUGUAUAAUAUGAGGCUGUGAUUUUAAUUGCCACUUCACUGUGACCCAAUAAAGUUAACAAGCCUCCACCAAA